Molecule: long non-coding RNA, 380 nt
Filed under: Homo sapiens (human)
Lineage: Eukaryota; Metazoa; Chordata; Mammalia; Primates; Hominidae
Description: HSALNT0274550
Source: RNAcentral
UGGCACGUGUGUCCACACUCGCUGCCUGUUGCCUUGACCACCCCCGAAGGUGACCAGGAAAGGCUGAGGAAGGCUUGUGUGCCCCAAGGCUCAGCAGUAGGCAUGGGGUGCACUCUACCUGCCUCCAGUGCCUGGCCCUGGUGCCACACCAUCGCCUGGAGUCUGGCUGCCAUGACAAAUGGCAAAGGAUUGGGACCUGCUACUGCUGGUGAGGAGGGGACCGUCAUGGCCACCUACAGAUGGGACACAGGGCUGUGACAUCCUGACCAGCAGGUGGUCUCUGUGGAUGUCCGGCCCCAGCCCUGCCCUGCGCUGACCCACUGUCCCGGCAGCCUGACCAGCUCUGGGUGCCCACUCGGAGGGUCCCCCAGACACCUGCC